This 406-nucleotide ribosomal RNA is filed under the name uncultured bacterium. RNAcentral's name for it is "partial 16S ribosomal RNA". It matches the Rfam family "Bacterial small subunit ribosomal RNA", at positions 30 to 526 of the family's 1533-position model. The record is from RNAcentral.
AUUGAACGCUGGCGGCAGGCUUAACACAUGCAAGUCGAGCGAGCGGCGGACGGGUGAGUAAUGUCUGUGAAACUGCCUGAUGGAGGGGGCUAACUCCUGGAAACGGUAGCUCAUCCCGCCUACCAUCAGAUUUGCCCAGAUGGGAUUAGCUAGUAGGUGGGGUAAUGGCUCACCGAGGCGACGAUCCCUAGCUGGUCUGCGAGGAUGACCAGCCAACAUGGAACGGAGACACGGUCCAGACUCCUACGGGAGGCAGCAGUGGGGAAUAUUGCACAAUGGGCGCAAGCCUGAUGAAGCCAUGCCGAGUGUGUGAAGAAGGCCGUCGGGUUGUAAAGCACUUUCAGCGAGGAGGCGUUACUCGCAGAAGAAGCACCGGCUAACUCCGUGCCAGCCGCCGCGGUAAUUC